CUCGUACUCCAGGACUAUCUUUAAUUUUUGAUACCAGCUAUUGAAAUUAGGUCCCAUUAGCUUAUUACUAUCCAAUAGCGAUCAGAGCGACAAAGAAGUGGCCAUAUCUAAAAUAAAAAUAAGAUCUAAUUAGUAUAUGAAUUGAUUAAGCCUAAAGAUUUGGACUUAAGUCUAAAGGUUCUCCUACUAUUUUAUAUGAAUUGAUAGCCUCUAUCUCUAAUUUGAUAAAUUACUUU
This 236-nucleotide long non-coding RNA is filed under the name Elaeis guineensis (African oil palm). RNAcentral's name for it is "long non-coding RNA (EGUI_LNC037079)". Lineage: Eukaryota; Viridiplantae; Streptophyta; Magnoliopsida; Arecales; Arecaceae. The record is from RNAcentral.